This 319-nucleotide ribosomal RNA is filed under the name uncultured eukaryote. RNAcentral's name for it is "partial 18S ribosomal RNA". It matches the Rfam family "Eukaryotic small subunit ribosomal RNA", at positions 1470 to 1796 of the family's 1831-position model. The record is from RNAcentral.
CCCUUAGAUGUUCUGGGCAGCACGCGCACUACAAUGGUCUUCGCAAACGGAUGCAUUCUCGAAGGAGAAUGCCAAUCUUGGAAUCUAUGCCUUGGUCGGGACAGUUGCUUGCAAUUUUUCGACUCGAACCAGGAAUUCCUUGUAAUCGUGAUUCAUCACAUCACGAUGAAUACGUCCCUGCCCUUUGUACACACCGCCCGUCGCUCCUACCGAUCGAAGAGUUAGGUGAAUUGUUUUGAUCGAUAAGAUUUGACUAUGGUCAACUCUCGUUGUGAAAUUCUGUGAAUCUGACUGUUUAGAGGAAGGAAAAGUCGUAACA